AUGAACGCUGGCGGCGUGCCUAAUACAUGCAAGUCGAGCGAACAGACGAGGAGCUUGCUCCUCUGACGUUAGCGGCGGACGGGUGAGUAACACGUGGAUAACCUACCUAUAAGACUGGGAUAACUUCGGGAAACCGGAGCUAAUACCGGAUAAUAUAUUGAACCGCAUGGUUCAAUAGUGAAAGACGGUUUUGCUGUCACUUAUAGAUGGAUCCGCGCCGCAUUAGCUAGUUGGUAAGGUAACGGCUUACCAAGGCAACGAUGCGUAGCCGACCUGAGAGGGUGAUCGGCCACACUGGAACUGAGACACGGUCCAGACUCCUACGGGAGGCAGCAGUAGGGAAUCUUCCGCAAUGGGCGAAAGCCUGACGGAGCAACGCCGCGUGAGUGAUGAAGGUCUUCGGAUCGUAAAACUCUGUUAUUAGGGAAGAACAAAUGUGUGAGUAACUAUGCACGUCUUGACGGUACCUAAUCAGAAAGCCACGGCUAACUACGUG
This 496-nucleotide ribosomal RNA is filed under the name uncultured bacterium. RNAcentral's name for it is "partial 16S ribosomal RNA". It matches the Rfam family "Bacterial small subunit ribosomal RNA", at positions 29 to 507 of the family's 1533-position model. The record is from RNAcentral.